GUCCAAUAAGGCCCUGGUCAAUUAGGCCCUGUAGAACAGGGCAAUGCCCAACAUGGCCUGUCAAUGGAUAGUGUACUGUUUUCUACUGGGCCAUGUAUCUCCAGGUUUUAGAUGGACUAUCACAGGACAGGUUCCUAAAGUUCAUCCCACCUGUCUCUGGGCCCAGACCUCAUGAUUUAUAUGUAGGAGAUAAAAUGAAAUACAACCUCAGGAUUCCAUUCCUUUCCAGUGACUCAUGGCCAGUGGUAGUAUAGAUCUAGAGGUAUUCCCUGAGGCUCUCUAGGAAUGCCGAAGAAUUUUCUCUUGGCUUCUGAUUUCCUCUUUCUUAUUACAGUUGACAGAUUUUUCUUCCUGCUGCCUAGAUUCUGUUUAGGAUCAUAUUUUUGUAAUUGGUCAGUCUUUGUCUUAUACCGCCUUCUUUAUUGUUUCAGUGGUCCCACUUGGGUUCAUUGUCUGCAACUGCUUAAUUUCCUGGUCUGAAAACAGCAUGACCUGCAUUGUUUCUACUCCCUUUUUCUACUUCCUCUUGGGCUUUUGAAAGAUCAUAGCCUUUUCUUCCCUCACUGGGAGUACAUUGAGGAGGCUCUGGAUCUCAGUCCAGGUAGGGUCCUAGGUCUGAAAGAUUGCUUUAAUCAGAUUGAGGAACCCUUUGGAUCUUCCCUCAGCCCCUUACUAUGACUCUUCUAGUUAUACAGAUCAGAAAUGGUCAGUAGGACCUGUACCUCGAUGAGCCCUCCUUCUCCAUCUGGGACCUGCUGGAAUGGAGUAUUCCCAUUAUAUAUAUAAGGGGGUAUUUUCUGGUAGGUUGUUGGACCCUGGCUGGUAAUUAGUCCUGCUUCAUGUACUUACUUGACUGGGUUCUAGGAGAGAGGGGUUAGUCUGGACAGGACCCCUUGGGCUGUGGCCAAAAUCAGUAGGUAUUGUGGAAGGGGCUAUGAAGGGAGCAGUAGUAGGAGGGUUAGGGAGGAGAUCCCGAAAGCCCUUAGGUGUGAGUCAAAGACUGGUAGAAGGCUUAGUCUCCUGUGCUCUUAUCAGUGAAGGCAAGCCCACAUCUCUUUCAAAAGCUUAUAUAGAUGAAAACUAUUGCAUUUGGAAUGGAUAUGCAAUGAGCUCCUGCUAUAUGGCACUGGGAACUAUGUCUAGUCACUUGUGAUGGAGCAUGAUGGAGAAUAAUGUGUAGAAAAGAAUGAAUAUAUGUAUGUGUGUCUGGAUCCCUUUGCUGUACAGUAGAAAAUUGACAGA
This 1242-nucleotide long non-coding RNA is filed under the name Sus scrofa (pig). Its description in RNAcentral is "lncRNA (ENSSSCG00035018067.1)". The record is from RNAcentral. Lineage: Eukaryota; Metazoa; Chordata; Mammalia; Artiodactyla; Suidae.